AACGUAGGAGGCGAGCGUUAUCCGGAUUUACUGGGCGUAAAGCGCGUGCAGGCGGCCCGGAAAGUUGGCUGUGAAAGCCCCCGGCUCAACUGGGGGAGGUCGGUCAAGACUUCCGGGCUCGAGGGUGGUAGAGGGAGGUGGAAUUCCGGGUGUAGUGGUGAAAUGCGUAGAUAUCCGGAGGAACACCAGUGGCGAAAGCGGCCUCCUGGACCACUUCUGACGCUCAGACGCGAAAGCGUGGGGAGCAAACAGG
RNAcentral lists this ribosomal RNA (253 nucleotides) under uncultured bacterium. Its description in RNAcentral is "partial 16S ribosomal RNA". It matches the Rfam family "Bacterial small subunit ribosomal RNA", at positions 524 to 776 of the family's 1533-position model. The record is from RNAcentral.